UGAGUAACACGUAUCCAACCUGCCGAUGACUCGGGGAUAGCCUUUCGAAAGAAAGAUUAAUACAAGAUGGCAUCAUGAGUCCGCAUGUUCACAUGAUUAAAGGUAUUCCGGUAGACGAUGGGGAUGCGUUCCAUUAGAUAGUAGGCGGGAUAACGGCCCACCUAGUCUUCGAUGGAUAGGGGUUCUGAGAGGAAGGUCCCCCACAUUGGAACUGAGACACGGUCCAA
Molecule: ribosomal RNA, 227 nt
Filed under: uncultured bacterium
Lineage: Bacteria
Description: partial 16S ribosomal RNA
Rfam family: Bacterial small subunit ribosomal RNA
Source: RNAcentral